CCUACGGGAGGCAGCAGUAGGGAAUUUUCGGCAAUGGGGGGAACCCUGACCGAGCAACGCCGCGUGAACGAAGAAGUUAUUCGUAAUGUAAAGUUCUUUUAACAGGGAAGAAAGAGAAAUUUGACGGUACCUGAAGAAUAAGCCCCGGCAAACUCCGUCCCCGCAGCCGCGGUUAUCCGUAGGGCGCGAGCGUUAUCCGGAAUCAUUGGGCGAAAAGGGUGCGUAGAUGGCAUAGUAAGUCUUUGGUAAAAAUGCUGGGCUAAACCCAGUAGGGCAAAAGAUACUGCAAAGCUAGAGUAUGACAGAGGCAAGUGGAACGACAGGUGUAGCGGUAAAAUGCAUAAAUAUAUGUAAGAACACCAGUGGCGAAGGCGGCUUGCUGGGUCGAUACUGACGUUGAGGCACGAAAGCGUGGGGAGCAAACAGGAUUAGAUACCCUUGUAGUC
This 446-nucleotide ribosomal RNA is filed under the name uncultured bacterium. Its description in RNAcentral is "partial 16S ribosomal RNA". It matches the Rfam family "Bacterial small subunit ribosomal RNA", at positions 338 to 795 of the family's 1533-position model. The record is from RNAcentral.